CUUCUUUCGUACAGCACCCUGAAUGAUAGAAAGAAACAACAAAAGUUCUCGUGUUUAAACAAGUUUUGUUUUGAGCUAUAUCAUGGCUGCUUGUGAAGUAUUAUUUUGCGUGUUCUAUUUAAUUCAGUGAUCUGUAGCCUAAUUAAAGUUUAAAUUAUUGAAGCACGCAUUUUUAAAUAAGUAAAACGUAAAAUAAAAGUUUGCUAAAGCCAAAAUAUGGAAUUGAAGAGGGUGAUACAGUAAUAAUUCAAUGCAUUGUCAAUUCGAAGCACGCAAUAGAAGCUACGCCAACAGUGGUCAACAUCAAGGGCGAAACCAUUGAAUACAUAUUUCAAACCUCAUACUGCGCGUUAAAAGUACGCAACGUAAUUGGUGCCACUUAUAGUAGCAUCGUAGAACUUUCGAAUCGAUGGAAUAUGUGCUGCAAGCAAAUUCAGAACUAUGGAUGCAAACGCUGCUAAAUGGAACAUAAAUCAUGGGAAAACUUUAGUAUACCGUCCCACGAUUUCGGGGUUAAAAUGAAUAUGGGCGGAUAGAGGAAUAAUAUAAUAUAAUUAUUGCCGCCGCAAACUUAUAGUUUCUGAGAUAUUUGCAAUUAAAGAUUUAAAAUUAACAAUUUUCAACACGUUAUUUCUCACUAUAUACUGAAUUUUUCUCAUAUAUUUUGCACUUUAAAUAUAUUUACGUUUCACUAAUUUGUUUUUGCAUAUUUAUUUUUAACAAAUUAUAUCAAAAUUUGCUGUAAAUAAACAUUUAACUUUUUGCACAAUUAUGUUUACUUGUACAAUAACAAAAGGGUUGCAAGAUGACAGAACAUAAGUGUUGCCACAUGCAAUCGAAUAAAAAUAAUCAAAAUUAAUAAAAUCCCCAAAAUGAAGAAAAUAAAUACCCUAUAAAUAGUUAUUAAGUAAACACCCCCAACACAGGGGAUUAUCAAAGUAGUAUAAUAACAAGUUCUUCCGCGUAGAACUACUUUCUGCAGAGGGGGCCUUCGGCCGCGCUUCAAAAAAAGAACCCUGGUCGAGCCAACACCGGGGAUUAUCAAAGUGGUAGAAUAACAAGUUCUUCCGCGUAGAACUACUUUUUGCAGAGACGGCCUUCGGCCGCGCUUAAAAAUAAUAACCCUGGUCGAGUCAAAACCGGGGAUUAUCAAAGUGGUUGAAUAACAAGUUCUUCCGCGUAGAACUACUUUCUGCAGAGGCGGCCUUCGGCAUCGCUUCAAAAAAAUAACCCUGGUCGAGCCAACACCGGGAAUUAUCAAAGUGGUGGAAUAACAAGUUCUUCCGCGUAGAACUACUUUGCUUAUUAUAUUUGGGAUAUAAUCUUUCUUUUUCAUUAUUGUGAUUCUUAUAAUUCGUUUACAAAAUAUGUGAUAUGGUAACACUUAUUUUGUGUCAGAAUGCAACCCUUUUUUAUUAUACAAAUAAAGAUAAUUGUGCACAAACUUAAAUGUUUAUUUACAGCAAAUUUUGAUAUAAUUUGUUAAAAAUAAAUAUGUAAAAACAAAUUAGUGAAGCGUAAAUAUAUUUAAAGUGCAAAAUAUAUGUGAAAAAUUCAAUAUGCUGUGAGAAAUAACGUGUUGAAAAGUGUUAAUUUUAAAUCUUUAAUGGCAAAUAUCUCAAAAACUAUAAGUUUGCGCAGGCAAUAAUUAUAUAUAUUCGUAAUCUGGAGAUCCUCCUCUAUCCGCCCAUAGUCAUUUAAAAAAAUUCUUAUUCUUAUAUGUUUAAUUAGGAGGACUUUUUUGAUUCAUUUUCACCUUGUAUUGAGGAAUCAUAACAUUGUUGUAUCGCUUUGCAAGGACAUAAAUUCACCGAAAUUAGUUCAAUGGAAAUACUACAGCGAGAGCAUGGAUGUUAAGACUAGAACGUUGCCAGUGCUAGAUUUAGAAUUCCUGAAACAUAAGAAACCCACCCCCAGAAAAUGGACGAAUCUAGUACUAAUGAAA
Molecule: long non-coding RNA, 1945 nt
Organism: Zeugodacus cucurbitae (melon fly)
Lineage: Eukaryota; Metazoa; Arthropoda; Insecta; Diptera; Tephritidae
Exons: 3
Source: RefSeq, a predicted model, not a curated record